CCAACCUACUUCAGUUGUUGGGAUGUUUAGAUUUAAAGGUGGAACUUCACAAAUUCAACAAUAACAGGUAACUGCUCCCAAUAUUUUACCCUUUUGC
Molecule: long non-coding RNA, 97 nt
Organism: Telopea speciosissima
Lineage: Eukaryota; Viridiplantae; Streptophyta; Magnoliopsida; Proteales; Proteaceae
Exons: 3
Source: RefSeq, a predicted model, not a curated record